AUCAGGACCAGUGCGCGCGCACCUCAGCAUCUACCGAGCACGCGCACGGGGACGCGCGCCCGCGUGCACGCAAGCUGUGCAAACUUCCCCACGUCUUCAGCAUGUGAAAAAAAGGGGGAAGCCACGGGAAAAUAUACUGGAUCGCCUAUAAUGUCAGCGUUGAAAAAGGUGCUACCGAGCAUACUGCAGAAGCAUUGCUGUAUCUUGCCAGAUAGGAAGUCAGGUCUGAAACGGUGGCUGAUGAGGCUGAAGAGCAGAGAGAUUUAUUCAGGUACCUGCUCCACCCUUUCCCUGCUCCACCCUUUCCCUGCUCCACCCUUUCUCUUCUUUCUCUUACAUUUCUGUCCAGCUCAAGUGUUUCAGAGCCUCAGCAUAAACACACUUUACCUGAUUUAUGGCUCUGUCCUAAACACUGCAUUUCAGGGCUAUGUAGUGUCCCUACUAAAUCAGCAGCCAAUCAGUGUACAUAUAUAUAUAUAUAUAUAAUGUUUCUAACUUCUGUCUCUUGUGUUCUUUCGUAUUUUUUUCUUUCUUUCUUUCUUUUAAGAUUUUUUCUUUA
Long non-coding RNA from Pangasianodon hypophthalmus (striped catfish), 559 nucleotides. RefSeq lists it as uncharacterized. Lineage: Eukaryota; Metazoa; Chordata; Actinopteri; Siluriformes; Pangasiidae. The transcript is spliced from 3 exons. The record is from RefSeq and is a predicted model, not a curated record.